This 253-nucleotide ribosomal RNA is filed under the name uncultured bacterium. RNAcentral describes it as "partial 16S ribosomal RNA". It matches the Rfam family "Bacterial small subunit ribosomal RNA", at positions 524 to 776 of the family's 1533-position model. The record is from RNAcentral.
UACGGGGGGGGCAAGCGUUGUUCAGAAUUACUGGGCGUAAAGGGCUCGUAGGCGGCCAACUAAGUCGGAUGUGAAAUCCCCAGGCUUAACCUGGGAACUGCAUCCGAUACUGGAUGGCUUGAAUCCGGGAGAGGGAUGCAGAAUUCCAGGUGUAGCGGUGAAAUGCGUAGAUAUCUGGAGGAAUACCGGUGGCGAAGGCGGCAUCCUGGACCGGCAUUGACGCUGAGGAGCGAAAGCUAGGGGAGCAAACGGG